GGCCGCAUGGCGUAGUGGUUAAGUGCUUGCACUGUCACUCAUGCGGUCAGGAGUUCGAGCCCCCUGUGGGUCA
This 73-nucleotide transfer RNA is filed under the name Sphaerodactylus townsendi. Its description in RNAcentral is "tRNA-Asp". The record is from RNAcentral. Lineage: Eukaryota; Metazoa; Chordata; Lepidosauria; Squamata; Sphaerodactylidae.